Molecule: ribosomal RNA, 282 nt
Filed under: uncultured bacterium
Lineage: Bacteria
Description: partial 16S ribosomal RNA
Rfam family: Bacterial small subunit ribosomal RNA
Source: RNAcentral
AAUCAACGCUGGCGGCGUGCCUCAGACAUGCAAGUCGAACGAUUAAACUUCUCUUCGGAGAAGAUAUAAAGUGGCGCACGGGUGAGUAACACGUAGGUAAUCUACCUUUGAGUGGGGAAUAACAAUCGGAAACGAUUGCUAAUACCACAUAAUGCAGCGGCAUCAUAAGAUGACAGUUGUUAAAGCGAGCAAUCGCGCUUAAAGAGGAGCCUGCGGCAGAUUAGCUAGUUAGGUAAGGUAAUGGCUUACCAAGGCUACGAUCUGUAACCGACCUGAGGAGGG